AUUCCCACAAUUCAAUCAAAUUUCAUGGGUUUAACAACAACAUCUUCAUCAUUCACACAAUUCAAUCAAAUUUUAUCUGUUUAACAACAAUAUAUUCAUCUUCAUACAAUUCAAUCAAAUUUCACGGGUUUAACAAUAACAUUUUCAUCAUUCACACAGUUCAAUCAAAUUUCAUGGGUUAACAUCAACAUUUUCAUCAUUCUCAUAAUUCAAUCAAAUUUCAUGGGUUUAACAACAACAUUUUCAUCAUUCACAUAAUUCAAUCAAAUUUUAUGGGUUUAACAUCAAA
RNAcentral lists this long non-coding RNA (289 nucleotides) under Lathyrus oleraceus (garden pea). RNAcentral's name for it is "Pisum sativum (pea) long non-coding RNA (PSAT_LNC040069)". The record is from RNAcentral. Lineage: Eukaryota; Viridiplantae; Streptophyta; Magnoliopsida; Fabales; Fabaceae.